AAAAAAUAAAACGCUUGAUCGCGACUCCGCAUCAGUCGCUCUGGCUCAGACGCUUGGUCGCUCUAGCCCGCCUCACUCUCUCGCCGUGCAUCGUCCGAGCGUCCUCAUCUUGCCGUUGAGCUGCCGUCAGGCAUUUUCCGUCUCCGAAGAACAUUCUGUAAACCAUAUUCCACACCAAUUGCUUUGAAACAUUGAACCCAGACCUUCUUCUCUCCAGCUUCCCCAGUGAUCAUAGCUUUUCUCGGUGUCAUGGAUCCUGAUAUAUGUCGCUGGAUACUAGAGUUUUUGCUUAGGAGUUCCAUCCCUGAUUCAAUUGUCAAGAAAAUCAUGAAGGCUUUGCCUCUCUCUAAUAUCAAUUCGCGGCUAAGGAAAACAAUCGUUCUUAGGGAUAUGCAAUCUGAGGUGGCUACAACUUCUCUUACAGAAAACUUAUUAGUUUGUCUAGAGGUUAUUGAAGAAAUAAAUAGGCUUGAUGGCAUUGCAAUCUCAGCAGCGAUGAAGGAGGCAUAUUGUGCUGUUGCUGUGGAGUGCACCGUCAAGUACCUUGAUGCUUGCCCAGAUAAGAACACUUGCGGCUUGUUUGAUGAUGCUGUCAAUAGGAUUUGGAGGGGCCGAGUUCGGCAGAUGAUGGAGGCUGUGGCAUCAGGGAAAAAGAUUGACUUGUUUACAGCUGAGUUGAUCGGGUGGAAGGAUGUUAUAGAGUCUGCACGUUGGGAUAGAGAGGUGUGCGAGAGGUUAACAAACAUGAAUACCAGACAAAAUGCAUUCAAUAAGGUUAGGGUUUAUCUAAAAGAAACCUGGGCAUCCAUGGGCCCUGCUUUUCUAGAGCAAGCAGCUAUAUUGUCUGAAGACAAGGGCUGGGGAAAUUCAUGGGGGGAUAAGAUGGGUGACAUACGAGGAGAGCUUGCUGAUUGUAUACCCAAUGGAGGUUGUGACAAUGGUGUUUCUGAAUCUGUUUUGGUCUCUGAUCAAAUGAAUAGGUGUAAAGGAAGGUUACAUUAUUCAACAAACAUGACGGAGAAGGGUUUAGUUGUGUUUGAUGGCAAUGCAUUGUACACUGCUGCAACUUGCAUGGAGAAGACACUGGUGGCAGGUGGAAACCAGGUUUUUGAGCAAUUGGGUAAGAGAGCUGUGUCUUCUGUUGGCGGAAGUCAGGCUUUGGGAGGGAUUGACUUGCCUCGGAGGAUAAAUAAAGAAAUUGAAAAGGUCAAGCUGCCACUUGAACAUAAUCAUGGUGCACCCCGUAUACGGAGAGGAGUUAAUAUUAGUGAUGCUGAGGAAGCAAAGUCAUCGACUGUGUGCAGCAAAGAUCACAAUGCAUCUAAUAUUCAAGUUGACAAACUUCGGAAAUCUCUCAUAUCAAGUUCUUUGGAGUUGCGAGCAUUGGUGAAGGAUCCUCUUCCUGAUGCAUUACAUAGAUCUGAUAUUGUAAGAUCUGAAUUAGCAUCAAAAGGUGUGAAUCAUGAGCCUUCUUUUGAAAACCAGAGUGCAGUUGUUGAUGUACCAGAACAAAAUACUUGUAGGAGCAUGGUUCUUUAUCAACCUAUUGAUAUUUUAAAGAAACAAUAUUCUGCUAAUUGUAGUAAUGUUCAGCGUCCCAGUUUGAUGGAAAGAAACAGUACUGCUUGUACUUAUGAGUGGGAUGAUUCAUUUAUUGACGUUCCUGGGAGAAGCCCUAAGAAAAGGAGGAGAAAGGGAAGAUGGGGUUCUGAAGAGGAGGAUGCGUUAAGGGCUGGUGUAAAGAAGUUUGGCAAAGGAAAUUGGAAGUCAAUCCUAAGAUUUUAUAGUGAGAUAUUUACAAAGACAGGAAGAACUGAAGUUGAUUUGAAGGAUAAAUGGAGAAAUUUGACACGAUAGUCACUGAGUGAGGAAUUUGACACUUCUGGAAAUCUUUUGAUCUGAAGGAUAAGAAAAGAAACAUGUCGCUAUAGUUACAAAGAGGAAUUAUUUUAGCUUUAGAGCUGAGCCAGAUCCUCAUUAUCAAACUCACAGGGGUUCUAGGUAAAUACUUAGGUAUACCCUUCAAAAGAGAGCAACCUGUGCUGUUUAUGCUUCAAUUCUGGACAAGGUGCGGAGGAGAUAUUCGUCUUGUCAAGGUGUAUAAAGCUGGAAAUUGAGAGAGACAUUAUUCAAUAACCUUUAUGUAUGUAUAUAUAAUAGUAAUUGUAAUCUCGAUGCAAUUCAAAAUGAUACUGCACUUGAGAAAAUCCAAUAUGGGGACGGACAUAUGAAAUUGUUGUGAAAUGACGAAUUGACAGGA
This is an RNA transcript of Prosopis cineraria, 2260 nucleotides long. RefSeq lists it as uncharacterized. The record is from RefSeq and is a predicted model, not a curated record. NCBI's taxonomy places the organism in Eukaryota, Viridiplantae, Streptophyta, Magnoliopsida, Fabales, Fabaceae. The transcript is spliced from 8 exons.